UACGGAGGGGGCUAGCGUUGUCCGGAAUUAUUGGGCGUAAAGAGCUCGUAGGCGGUCUGUCGCGUCUGCUGUGAAAACUCAGGGCUUAACCCUGAGCUUGCAGUGGGUACGGGCAGACUAGAGUGCGGUAGGGGAGAUUGGAAUUCCUGGUGUAGCGGUGGAAUGCGCAGAUAUCAGGAGGAACACCAAUGGCGAAGGCAGAUCUCUGGGCCGUAACUGACGCUGAGGAGCGAAAGCAUGGGGAGCGAACAGG
This 253-nucleotide ribosomal RNA is filed under the name uncultured bacterium. RNAcentral describes it as "partial 16S ribosomal RNA". It matches the Rfam family "Bacterial small subunit ribosomal RNA", at positions 524 to 776 of the family's 1533-position model. The record is from RNAcentral.